GCGCCACUAGCUCAACGGCAGAGCAGCGGACUCUUAAUCCGUUGGUUGAAGGUUCAAAUCCUUCGUGGCGCACCA
This 75-nucleotide transfer RNA is filed under the name Magnetobacterium casense (SeqCode). Its description in RNAcentral is "tRNA-Lys". It matches the Rfam family "tRNA". From Rfam's summary of the family: Transfer RNA (tRNA) molecules are approximately 80 nucleotides in length. Their secondary structure includes four short double-helical elements and three loops (D, anti-codon, and T loops). RNAcentral also lists the same sequence under 2 other names. The record is from RNAcentral. Lineage: Bacteria; Pseudomonadati; Nitrospirota; Thermodesulfovibrionia; Thermodesulfovibrionales; Magnetobacteriaceae (SeqCode).